UUCGCCGCCAUCGUAGAAACCAGCUAGUGACGCUAGGUACAGUCGCGUGUGAAAAAGUUUGUUCCGAAGAAUCCGGGAAGGGAACCCGUGCCAUUAAGCUGAUUUAGGCAGAGCUACUUGCUCUUACGUUGGUGAAGUUGUGGGCACAAAAAGAAAGCCCAUUUGACGCGCAGAAGUUCGAUACGCCCGAACCCCCGAGCGCCAGCACGACGGGGACGUCGACGGCGACGUUUUAAAGAAUCCGUCCUCGUCAGCUUGAAGGAACUAACGAAACUAGCAGCAGGGGGUCGCGUGAAACUUACAUCGUGACGAGAAAGCGAUCGGCAACCUCCAACGCCAACAAUUGAGCUUUUCGCAAAACCGCGUGCUUCAGCUGGCAGCGAUCGGCAACCUCCAACGCCAACAAUAGAGUGGUUCGUAAAACCGCAUGCUUCAGCUGGUGCAAAGCAGAACCUAUUUUGCCCGGAGAGCUUCCAACUUCCUCUACUGCCACCGUGUGCAUUCCGGCAAACGAAAAGUGAUCACUUUUGUGGUGAAAACGAAAACCACUUUGCGAAGAGCACCGCCUAUGCGACGGACUACCUGGCCGCAAGCAGCGACUAAAGCGCGAACGAAAGCGACAGACCCUUCUUAACAUCAGCAGAUAAAAGAAAACCCCUUAUAGGGGUUUUCUUGUUUAUUGCAGUUUCGUAGCAGUCAGGAUACUCAACAUUCGAUUCGUGGUGUUUGCAUGCGAGGCAUGAGUGCGAGUCUGCUCUGGUUUUAGUACCCGGCGGGAUUUCUUCCAGGAGAAGCGCGGGCACGCAUCGUAGCCGAGAUUGGUGGCUUAAUCAACAGAGGAACGAACACCGAAGCAGCGAUCACGACACUGGGGCUGACGGGAUCUAGCGCCCACUGGACGGACGUGUAGUCAGGAGAUUGUUGCGAAGACGCAUCAUGACCGCAGUGGCGUGGCAAGUGUUGAGAUGGGGCGCCCCGAUAGGUACCGUGAGUAGAAACCUAAGAGAAAUAUUUAGCAUGUAAAAUUGAUCUCUCGAGAGCAGGAAAGCAGGGAAUGAAGAGUAGGGAAGAUUCCAAAAUGGAAAAAUAAAGCUCUG
Long non-coding RNA from Armigeres subalbatus, 1097 nucleotides. RefSeq lists it as uncharacterized. The transcript is spliced from 4 exons. The record is from RefSeq and is a predicted model, not a curated record. NCBI's taxonomy places the organism in Eukaryota, Metazoa, Arthropoda, Insecta, Diptera, Culicidae.